RNAcentral lists this ribosomal RNA (405 nucleotides) under uncultured bacterium. RNAcentral's name for it is "bacterial SSU rRNA". It matches the Rfam family "Bacterial small subunit ribosomal RNA", at positions 370 to 772 of the family's 1533-position model. The record is from RNAcentral.
AAUGGGCGGAAGCCUGAACCAGCCAUCCCGCGUGCAGGAUGACUGCCCUAUGGGUUGUAAACUGCUUUUAUCUGGGAAUAAACCACUCUAUUUAUGGGGUGUUGAAGGUACCAGAAGAAUAAGCACCGGCUAACUCCGUGCCAGCAGCCGCGGUAAUACGGAGGGUGCAAGCGUUAUCCGGAAUCACUGGGUUUAAAGGGUGCGUAGGCGGCUGUAUAAGUCAGGGGUGAAAGGCUACAGCUUAACUGUGGAAUUGCCUUUGAUACUGUAUAGCUUGAAUAAGGAUGAGGUUGGCGGAAUGUGGCAUGUAGCGGUGAAAUGCAUAGAUAUGCCAUAGAACACCAAUUGCGAAGGCAGCUAACUGGACCUUUAUUGACGCUGAGGCACGAAAGCGUGGGGAUCAAA